Molecule: ribosomal RNA, 253 nt
Filed under: uncultured bacterium
Lineage: Bacteria
Description: partial 16S ribosomal RNA
Rfam family: Bacterial small subunit ribosomal RNA
Source: RNAcentral
UACGUAGGGUGCAAGCGUUGUCCGGAAUUAUUGGGCGUAAAGAGCUCGUAGGCGGUUUGUCGCGUCGAAUGUGAAAGCCCGGGGCUUAACUCCGGGUCUGCAUUCGAUACGGGCAGGCUAGAGUUCGGUAGGGGAGAUCGGAAUUCCUGGUGUAGCGGUGAAAUGCGCAGAUAUCAGGAGGAACACCGGUGGCGAAGGCGGAUCUCUGGGCCGAUACUGACGCUGAGGAGCGAAAGCGUGGGGAGCGAACAGG